RNAcentral lists this transfer RNA (85 nucleotides) under Felis catus (domestic cat). It matches the Rfam family "tRNA". Rfam says of the family: Transfer RNA (tRNA) molecules are approximately 80 nucleotides in length. Lineage: Eukaryota; Metazoa; Chordata; Mammalia; Carnivora; Felidae. The record is from Rfam by way of RNAcentral.
ACCUGGGUGGCUGAGUUGGUUGAGUGCCUGACUUUGGCUCAGGUCAUGGUCUCUCAGUUUGUGAGUUCAAGCCCCACUUCAGGCU